GACGAACGCUGGCGGCGUGCCUAAUACAUGCAAGUUGAGCGCUGAAGGUUGGUACUUGUACCAACUGGAUGAGCAGCGAACGGGUGAGUAACGCGUGGGGCAUCUGCCUUUGAGCGGGGGACAACAUUUGGAAACGAAUGCUAAUACCGCAUAAAAACUUUAAACACAAGUUUUAAGUUUGAAAGAUGCAAUUGCAUCACUCAAAGAUGAUCCCGCGUUGUAUUAGCUAGUUGGUGAGGUAAAGGCUCACCAAGGCGAUGUUACAUAGCCGACCUGAGAGGGUGGUCGGCCACAUUGGGACUGUGACACGGCACAAACGCCUGGGGGAGGCAGCAGUAGGGAAUCGUCGGCAAUGGGCGAAAGUCUGACCGAGAAACGCCGCGUGAGUGAAGAAGGUUUUCGGGUCGGAAAACUCUGUUGGCAGAGAAGAACGUUGGUGAGAGUGGAAAGCUCAGCAAGUGACGGUAACUACCCAGAAAGGGACGGCUAACUACGUG
RNAcentral lists this ribosomal RNA (497 nucleotides) under uncultured bacterium. Its description in RNAcentral is "partial 16S ribosomal RNA". It matches the Rfam family "Bacterial small subunit ribosomal RNA", at positions 28 to 507 of the family's 1533-position model. The record is from RNAcentral.